CUCGGACCCUCGCGCAUGUUCUAGAAUUAGAGUUUGAUCCUGGCUCAGGAUGAACGCUGGCGGCGUGCCUAACACAUGCAAGUCGAGCGAUCUCUUCGGAGAGAGCGGCGGACGGGUGAGUAACGCGUGGGUAACCUGCCCUGUACACACGGAUAACACACCGAAAGGUAUACUAAUACGGGAUAACAUAUAAAAGUCGCAUGGCUUUUGUAUCAAAGCUCCGGCGGUACAGGAUGGACCCGCGUCUGAUUAGCUAGUUGGUAAGGUAAUGGCUUACCAAGGCAACGAUCAGUAGCCGACCUGAGAGGGUGAUCGGCCACACUGGAACUGAGACACGGUCCAGACUCCUACAGGGAGGCGGCAGUGGGGGAUAUUGCACAAUGGGCGAAAGCCUGAUGCAGCAACGCCGCGUGAGCGAUGAAGGCUUUCGGGUCGUAAGCUCUGUCCUCAGGAAGAUAAUGACGGUACUUGAGGAGGAAGCCCCGGCUAACUACGUGCCAGCAGCCGCGGUAAUACGUAGGGGCUAGCGUUAUCC
This 535-nucleotide ribosomal RNA is filed under the name uncultured bacterium. RNAcentral describes it as "bacterial SSU rRNA". It matches the Rfam family "Bacterial small subunit ribosomal RNA", at positions 1 to 546 of the family's 1533-position model. The record is from RNAcentral.